RNAcentral lists this ribosomal RNA (317 nucleotides) under uncultured bacterium. Its description in RNAcentral is "bacterial SSU rRNA". It matches the Rfam family "Bacterial small subunit ribosomal RNA", at positions 28 to 334 of the family's 1533-position model. The record is from RNAcentral.
GAUGAACGCUAGCUACAGGCUUAACACAUGCAAGUCGAGGGGCAGCAUGAAAGGAACUUCGGUUCUUUUUGGUGGCGACCGGCGCACGGGUGCGUAACGCGUAUCGAACCUGCCUCAUACAGGGGGAUAACAGUUGGAAACGGCUGCUAAUACCGCAUAAGCGCACAGUACCGCAUGGUACGGUGUGAAAAACUCCGGUGGUAUGAGAUGGACCCGCGUCUGAUUAGCCAGUUGGCGGGGUAACGGCCCACCAAAGCGACGAUCAGUAGCCGGCCUGAGAGGGCGACCGGCCACAUUGGGACUGAGACACGGCCCAA